This is a non-coding RNA of Pimephales promelas (fathead minnow), 7099 nucleotides long. NCBI's taxonomy places the organism in Eukaryota, Metazoa, Chordata, Actinopteri, Cypriniformes, Leuciscidae. The record is from RefSeq and is a predicted model, not a curated record.
ACACAGCCAAUGAACAUGCUCUACAGUCAACAAGCGCAAUCUCCAGCCAAUAAGCGCACUCUCCACUGUGUGUCGUCAGUCAGUGUGCACCCGUUGAAGAGAUAUAGUUUCCUGAGGCAGAAACAACGGUAAAACUUCUCCAUAAAGUGGACAUUCCUUUAGUGAGUCAUUGAAAAUAAGUAAGUGCGAUUCUCUGUUCUUUAUUAGUUGACUUUGUGUUAGUCAAGUGAUGACUUGUUGGUUUAUCAUCGUCAGAUUCACUUGCACGAGCAGUAUAGUGAUUCUCGUGUUCAUCUUCUGUAUUGCUGCUUAAUGUUAAUUCUUCCUUUAGUAUUUAAUGGAUAUUUGUAGGUAAUACAUUUAUAGUAUUUAGUAUUGUACAUUUGGAUUAUUGAUUUCUUGCCAGUCGUCAGAUUUACCGUGCCAUUUGAUAACGCAGCAACUAUAUAAUGACCUUUCACUUACUUUAUUCUGUGCGUUUCAUGCGCCACUUUGUGGCACUACAUGGUAUUGCAACAAUGUUUGUUUAGUAUAUGUUAUACUUUAAGGAUAUUAUUUUAUCUUGCAAAUUGUUGAAAGUUAUUGCGAUUAUUGUCUAUUCAUUGUUCUUUUUGUCAUUCACAGACCACAUUUCUACGUAAAUGUCCACUAAAUGAGACUGUUGAACAAUAAAUGCCCUGUGGUCUGACUGUGCUGUCAUGUUUAAAUAAUUUCAUUCAAUCCUUGAACUGAAUCCUGACUCAGAUGUCUUGACCGACAUACCAGUGCGAACACGCACCCACCUGAACUAGUGCACACAAUAGAAUAAAUCCCUCAGAUUUUACAUUGGUCCUUCGAGCCGGAUCGUGUGUUUACACUGGACUAAGGAUGUCAGAAUCCCAGAACCCAGAAUAUCAGAUCCAAGGUGCACGACCUAGACGUUCAGUUCGUCCGCCAGCAUACCUCCAAGACUUUGAGGUCCAGUAUCCAACGAACGCUCAAGUUACCAUACCUUUCAUACAGAUAGCACAGCAGACACAUGGGCGAGAAGAUAAACAGUGGGAAGACACCUCAAAUGCUCGCCUGCAAACCACCAGAGAUUACAGCUCAGAUGAGGGAGCUGAACGUGGAACACCUGAUUCUUUAGAGGGAACAGGACCACAACGAGAGCCAUGGUUUCUCAUUAGAGACCAGUGGAGUGCACAAGAUGACUAUACUCACUCCUUACCUCCAGAUAUUCAUAAGACAGUGCAUGACAUUGAAAAAGAAAACAGAGAGCUUCGUCAAUCUCAAUUAUCAAUGAAGGAGGAGAUCAGACGACUGACAGAAAUCAUGCAAGACAUGUUAACGAGGAGCCAGUCAAGUCAGAGGUCAUCGCCUACAGCUAAACAGCAGUAUCCAUCCCAACCAACUCCAGUGCCCUCUCCUAGAACUAUUUACAGGGGGUCAGAAACACCUGUCCCUAACCCAGCACCCCGUGCUCAUCCAGUACCGACACCACGCAUAAUGCCAACUCCAAGGAGUACAAACCUUUAUAGUACAGACAGGAAUGCCCAUCAUACUCCUCCUCCAGUUCAACAUCAGUACGCUGACACCCUUGCUACUGGUAGAGUUGCAGCCCAGGGUCCCUCCAGUACGUAUGACCCCUACAGACAUUACCUGGGUCGACAGCAGCCAGAGAUGGAUGGAUCAGUCCCUACUCCCUCCAUGCCCCCAGCGCAUUAUUCUGUCCAGCCUAAUUGGUUACCCGCAGACCCACCCAGGUGGCAGAUGGAUGUGAAUAGACAGGAGACAAUCUACAGAGGUCCUCAGCCAACUAUACCGUAUUUCUCCCAUCGAGAUCCAGGUGAAUUCACCCGCCUUAAGUUAGCCUUGAGUAAUCUGUUGCCAGAGGAUGCAACUGAACUCUUUAAGUACCAGGUUCUAGUUGACCACUUAAAGCUAACUGAAGCUCGCUUGAUAGCAGACUCAUUCUUGAACUCCCUUACUCCAUACUCAGACACUAUGGCAGCACUUACUGAGAGGUAUGGGCGACCGCACCAACUUGCUCUAAAUCGAAUAGCUGCUGUAAUGGACUCUCCGGACAUCCAUUCUGGAGAUACUGCAGGCUUCGAACGCUUUGCUCUACAAAUCCAGGCACUGGUAGGUCUCUUGAAUACACUGGGCACAGAAGGAGAAGUUGAAUUACGGUGUGGAUCACAUGUGGCUCGACUCCUGACUAAACUACCUCCAGAGUUGCGGUCAUCCUUUAGAAGGCAUAUGAGUUUUGAACCAGGAAUUGUGUACACACUCCUUGACUUCGCUAAGUGGCUCAAGUUUGAAUCAUGGUGUCAAGACCAUGAAAGCAUUGGUGGAGACAAAGUUCACAGAGUCAAACAAAGAACAGACAUCCGCAGGGAUUCCAAGUUGAAAUAUCAACCAACCACAAUACUCCAUGGUGCAGAUCAACCAUCAAUAUCAGUGCUACCACAGCCAGCUAAAAGCAUAAAUAAAAGCAAUGCCUUCUGCCCUUACUGUGAUGGCAAAGACCACUACCUGAGCCAGUGUACGUCCUUCCAAGCACUUUCCAAAGAUCAAGUGACUGACUGGAUAAAGACAAAUCAUAGAUGUUGGAAGUGUGGACGCUCCCACCGAGCUGCGCAGUGUACUUUGAAAAAGCCAUGUCGUCUGUGCAAUGGAAUACAUUUGCAAAUCCUCCAUGAUGUGAAUGUUAAGCCAAUGAAGGAGGGCACCUGCCUUGUCAGCUCUACCAAUACAUCGCUGUACUUGGACAGACCUGAAGGGUCCAAUCGAGUCCUUCUUAAAGUCAUUAGAGUUAUCUUGCAACACAAAGGUCAGAGCUUUGACACAUAUGCUGUGCUCGAUGACGGUUCAGAGCGCACCAUCCUUCUGUCAUCAGCAGCUCAAAGACUAGGUCUCACAGGAAAGUCAGAGGACUUAGCCUUGAGGACUAUAAGGCAGGACAUAACAACACUCCAUGGCACAGCAGUUUCUUUCAGGAUCUCAACACCCUCUCAACCUAAUAAGAGCUAUCUUAUCGAGAGAGCCUUUACAGCAGAACCCUUGAGCCUAGCGGAACAUUCCUAUCCGAUUGCAUCCCUUCAACAAAAAUACAGUCAUUUGAGAGGUCUACCACUUCAGCCAAUUCACAAAGCCAGCCCCAUGCUGUUGAUAGGAGCAGACCAUUCUCACCUAAUCACCCCGAUAGAACCAGUCCGCCUUGGUCCACCAGGUGGUCCAGCAGCCAUUAAGACACGUCUGGGUUGGACUCUGCAAGGUCCAGCACGAGUUCUUGAAGAUAAAUUGAAGUCACAGCAGUGUCUGCAUAUUACCAUUAAACCUUCAAUGGUGGAACUUUUUCAGAACGUCGAAAGACUCUGGCAGGCCGAUAUCUUACCCAUAAGGUCCGAAGGGUUGCUCACAAGGUCAAAACAAGAUCAAGAAGCUCUUACCCUUCUACAGAACCAGACCAGGAGAGUACUGGUUGAUGGAGUUAGCCGAUAUGCUACUCCACUCCUUCGCAAGAAAGACAUGCCUCUUCUUCAAGCUUCUAAAGAGGCUGUACUACCAAACCUAAGGAGUAUAGAGAAGCGUCUGGAACGGGACCCCAUCAAAGCUGCUGCAUAUAAGGAGGAGAUAGGUAGGCUAGAGGUCUCUGGGUAUGCACGCAAACUCCUCCCUGAAGAAGUCAACACUGAUGGUGAGUCAUGGUUCAUUCCUCACCAUAUGGUUCAUCAUAAUGGAAAGAAUCGUGUGGUUUUCAACUGUUCCUUCCAGUUUAGAGGCCACAGUUUGAAUGACUACUUACUGCCUGGACCAGCGUUAGGGCCCUCCUUAUUAGGCGUCCUGUUACGCUUUCGUGAGCACAGAGUGGCAAUAAGUGGUGACAUCAAGGGGAUGUUUCAUCAGGUCUGCCUUCUGCCUGAAGAUAAACAUCUCCUCCGUUUUGUGUGGCGGGACCUUGACAGAACUAAACUUCCUGAUGUCUACGAGUGGCAGGUGUUACCCUUUGGCACCACUUGCAGCCCGUGCUGUGCCAUUUACGCCCUUCAACAGCACAUCAUAGAUCACAGCAAGCCCGAUGAUGAUGUCAGAGUCACAGUAGAGAAGAACUUCUAUGUGGACAACUGCUUGCGGAGCCUUCAGUCACCUGAGGAAGCAAGACAACUGGUGGAUAAACUCCGUCAAAUCCUGGCCAGUGGUGGGUUUGACCUUCGACAGUGGGCAAGUAAUGUUCCAAGUGUGGUUGAGCACCUACCAACAGACGCACGAUCCAACAGUACAGAAUUGUGGUUGUCGCAAGAUCGGACUGAAAUACAGGAAUCCACACUGGGUUUGAAGUGGUACUGCCAAUUAGACACCCUUGGGUAUAAAACCCGACCAGUGAAGCCUGGACCACGUACCCUUCGUCACAUCUACAGGGUGCUCGCAACUCAGUAUGACCCACUCGGUUUCAUCAUCCCAUUUACCACACAAGCUAAAGUCUUGGUACAAAGGUUGUGGGAUAAACAGAGGGAAUGGGAUGAUCCCAACCUGCCUGAUGACCUUUUGAAGUCCUGGAAUGACUGGGAAGAAGAGCUCCCUACCUUAGCCAGCAUCUCUUUGCCUCGUUGUUUUGUAUCUUCAGACACUGAUCAGUUCCAGGUUACCCGACAGAUACACAUCUUUUGUGAUGCUUCUGAGCAGGCUUAUGGGUCUGUCUCAUAUCUGCGCACAGAGAACGAUAGUGGUCAAGUACAGGUUGCCUUCAUCAUGGCCAGAUCUAAAGUCGCUCCUAAGCGAAGACAUACCAUACCUCGAUUGGAGUUAUGCGCAGCCCUGAAUGGUGCUCAGCUAGCCAAACUGCUUAAGACUGAACUUACUGUAGAAAUCAGCCAAGUGUUCAUGUGGACAGAUUCCACCACAGUACUCGCCUGGAUCAACUCAGAAUCAUACCGAUUCAAGGUAUUUGUCGGUACAAGGAUAGCGGAGAUCCAAGAGCUCACAGCAGGGUGUACCUGGCGGUACGUUGACUCUGAUAAGAACCCAGCCGAUGAUCUGACCCGGGGUAAAACACUUAAAGAUCUGUCAGUGCCCAACAGAUGGAGUCAGGGGCCAUCAUUCCUCCUUGAACCUGAGUCAUCAUGGCCAAUAACUCCUAAUCUACAACCUCCGGAGGAUAAAGCAGAGCAUCGUAAGGGAAUAUUCUGUGGCAUUUCAACAGAGAUUAAUCUCCCAAGCAUUCCUGAUCCUGCUACUUGCAGUUCCUGGAAGGAGCUAGUAGAGGCAACAGCCCAGAACCUUAAAGGAACAGAACAGCUCUCAGCAGCAGAUUAUCUAGCUGCGGAAUUGCUCAUCCUCCAAAAAUCCCAGAGGGACAGUUUCCCUGAUGAGUACAGAUUACUUACAGAUGGGAAACCUGUACAGUCAACCAGUCGGUUACUUACCCUAGCACCAGAAUUUGACACGUCCAGUCAGCUUGUCAGAGUUGGUGGCCGUCUGCGACGGGCUGAAGGAUUGGAAUCAUCAGUAAUCCACCCUAUAGUUCUACAUCCUCAUCAUUUCAGCACUAAAUUACUAAUCCAGGAUUACGACAGCAAGCUCUGCCACCCAGGACCCGAUAGGGUUUUUGCAGAAAUGAGGAGAAACUUUUGGGUAUUGAGAGGACGUGAAGCUAUACGCAAGCAGCAGCAUCAAUGUAAAGAGUGCCAAAAGUGGAAGAGUAAGCCAGUUGUUCCAAAAAUGGCAGAUCUACCUCCAGCCCGCUUGAGACUACAUAAACCACCAUUCUACAGUACUGGCAUGGACUGUUUCGGACCAUUUCAAAUUAAAAUCGGCAGACGCUGUGAGAAGAGGUGGGGAGUAAUCUUUAAGUGCCUAACAACGAGAAGUAUACAUCUGGAUCUUCUCACUUCUAUGGAUACAGAUUCAUUCCUGAUGGCCUUAAGGAGGUUUGUAGCCCGGCGUGGCACACCAUUUGAGUUAAUCUCUGACCAGGGCACCAAUUUCCGUGGAGGAGAAAGAGAGCUGCAAGAAGCAUUUUCUUCCCUCAGCCCUCAACUACAACAACAGCUGGCCAAAAGGAAAAUAUCCUUCCGCUUCAACCCACCAAGUGCUCCACACUUUGGCGGAACCUGGGAAAGAGAGAUUCGGUCUGUGAAAAAUGCCCUACGCACCACCCUUGGCUCACAGGUUGUGACUGAAGAAGUGCUCCUGACAGUCCUAAUUGAAGUUGAAGGCAUUUUAAACAGUAAGCCACUAGGUUACACCUCAAGUAACAUAGCUGACGUUGAUCCUGUUACGCCUAACUACCUGCUCAUGGGGCGGCCAGAUAGUUCUUUACCACCAGUGGUCUAUCCAGCUACUGAACUCAUGGGGCGGCGGAGAUGGAAGCAAAGCCAGGUAUUGGCUGACCAGUUCUGGUCGAGUUUCAUCCGUCACUACUUACCUUCACUACAGUCUCGUGGAAAGUGGCAUUCCGAGGUUAAAAACAUUUCCACUGGAGAUGUAGUUAUGGUUGUAGACCCACAGGUCCCACGUGCUUUGUGGUUAUUGGGCAAGGUUAUAAAAACCUUCCCUGGUUCAGAUGGAUGUAUUAGAGCAGCUGAGAUCCAAAUCAAUGAUAAGAUCUACAUGCGACCUGUUGCUCGUUUGAUUCCCCUUCCUGCUUUCUCAGACGAAGAUGUGUCCAGGACUUAUCUCCUACAAAUUGACUAAGCCUAUAAAGAACAAAUAUGCUCCGCAUAUUUGGGGGCGGCAGUGUUAAGAAGACACAGCCAAUGAACAUGCUCUACAGUCAACAAGCGCAAUCUCCAGCCAAUAAGCGCACUCUCCACUGUGUGUCGUCAGUCAGUGUGCACCCGUUGAAGAGAUAUAGUUUCCUGAGGCAGAAACAACGGUAAAACUUCUCCAUAAAGUGGACAUUCCUUUAGUGAGUCAUUGAAAAUAAACCACAUUUCUACGUAAAUGUCCACUAAAUGAGACUGUUGAACAAUAAAUGCCCUGUGGUCUGACUGUGCUGUCAUGUUUAAAUAAUUUCAUUCAAUCCUUGAACUGAAUCCUGACUCAGAUGUCUUGACCGACAUACCAGUGCGAACACGCACCCACCUGAACUAGUGCACACAAUAGAAUAAAUCCCUCA